UAAGGAAUCUUCCACAAUGGGCGAAAGCCUGAUGGAGCAACGCCGCGUGCAGGAUGAAGGCCCUCGGGUCGUAAACUGCUUUUAUGAGUGAAGAAUAUGACGGUAACUCAUGAAUAAGGGUCGGCUAACUACGUGCCAGCAGCCGCGGUCAUACGUAGGACCCAAGCGUUAUCCGGAGUGACUGGGCGUAAAGAGUUGCGUAGGUGGCUUGUAAAGCAAAUAGUGAAAUCUGGGGGCUCAACCUCACAGGCUAUUAUUUGAACUCACAAGCUCGAGAACAGCAGAGGUAACUGGAAUUUCUGAAGUAGGGGUAAUAUCCGUAGAUAUCAGAAGGAACACCAAUGGCGUAGGCAGGUUACUGGGCUGUUUCUGACACUGAGGCACGAAAGCGUGGGGAGCGAACCGG
Molecule: ribosomal RNA, 406 nt
Filed under: uncultured bacterium
Lineage: Bacteria
Description: bacterial SSU rRNA
Rfam family: Bacterial small subunit ribosomal RNA
Source: RNAcentral